CACUCUAGCGAGACUGCCGGUAAUAAACCGGAGGAAGGUGGGGAUGACGUCAAAUCAUCAUGCCCUUAUGACCUGGGCUACACACGUGCUACAAUGGUUGGUACAACGAGUUGCGAGUCGGUGACGGCGAGCUAAUCUCUUAAAGCCAAUCUCAGUUCGGAUUGUAGGCUGCAACUCGCCUACAUGAAGUCGGAAUCGCUAGUAAUCGCGGAUCAGCACGCCGCGGUGAAUACGUUCCCGGGCCUU
RNAcentral lists this ribosomal RNA (246 nucleotides) under uncultured Streptococcus sp. RNAcentral describes it as "partial 16S ribosomal RNA". It matches the Rfam family "Bacterial small subunit ribosomal RNA", at positions 1136 to 1382 of the family's 1533-position model. The record is from RNAcentral. Lineage: Bacteria; Bacillati; Bacillota; Bacilli; Lactobacillales; Streptococcaceae.